GAAAAACCCACAGGGAUUGCCCUAGUCACGCGAGUGAAGCGGCAACAGCUCAAAUUUGAAAUCUGGCGUCUCCGCUUCCGAGUUGUAAUUCGCAGAGGAUGCUUUUGGCGACCUGCCUUCCGAGUUCCCUGGGACGGGACGCCACAGAGGGUGAGAGCCCCGUACGGUCUGGCGCCGAGCCGCUGUAAAGCUCCUUCGACGAGUCGAGUAGUUUGGGAAUGCUGCUCUAAAUGGGAGGUAAACUCCUUCUAAAGCUAAAUAUUGGCCAGAGACCGAUAGCGCACAAGUAGAGUGAUCGAAAGAUGAAAAGCACUUUGAAAAGAGAGUUAAACAGCACGUGAAAUUGUUGAAAGGGAAUCGCUUAUGACCAGACUUGGGCUUGGUGGUUCAGCCGUCCUUCUGGGCGGUGCACUCCGCCGGUUCAGGCCAGCAUCAGUUGCCGGUUGGGGAGAAAUGUGGUGGGAACGUGGCUCCUCGGAGUGUUAUAGCCCGCCACUAUGCCCUCCUGGCGACUGAGGUUAGCGUUCUUCCGGAUGCUGGCGUAAUGGUUAUCAGCGACCCGUCUUGAAACACGGACCAAGGAGUCGUCCUGUCAUGCGAGUGUUCGGGUGCCAAACCCCUACCCGUAAUGAAAGUGAACGGAGGUGAGAGCUUCGGCGCAUCAUCGACCGAUCCUGAUGUCCUCGGAUGGAUUUGAGUAAGAGCAUGGGGGCCCGGACCCCAAAGAAGGUGAACUAUUCUUGGAUAGGGCAAAGCCAGAGGAAACUCUGGUGGAGGCUCGCAGCGGUUCUGACGUGCAAAUCGAUCGUCAAAUUUGACCAUGGGGGCGAAAAGACUUAAUCGAACCUUUUU
This 852-nucleotide ribosomal RNA is filed under the name Natantispora retorquens. Its description in RNAcentral is "eukaryotic LSU rRNA". It matches the Rfam family "Eukaryotic large subunit ribosomal RNA", at positions 56 to 946 of the family's 3401-position model. Lineage: Eukaryota; Fungi; Ascomycota; Sordariomycetes; Microascales; Halosphaeriaceae. The record is from RNAcentral.